RNAcentral lists this long non-coding RNA (1295 nucleotides) under Hordeum vulgare. RNAcentral describes it as "long non-coding RNA (HVUL_LNC018476)". Lineage: Eukaryota; Viridiplantae; Streptophyta; Magnoliopsida; Poales; Poaceae. The record is from RNAcentral.
UUUCAAUCUUCCCCUGUUCUUCGCUCCAGGUUCUCUUCAUGGGAAGCCUUCUCUCCUUCCUGCAUAGCCAAAUAUAUGGGAUUGGUUCUAGACUCUGAAUCUGGUGGCGGCAAAUAUCCAGUGAUCGCGCGGGCGAGCAGUGAUGAGUGGUUGCUCCUCUAUUGAAGCGGAACACUUUGAUUCUUGGGGUAUUUCUUCUCGGAUUUAAGGUACUAUGAUGUAUACCACAAGCUUCUGCUAUUAUUUCUGUCACUUUUUCUGAAGUUCGGUCAGCGGGUGCAAUAAAAUUCACUUGCAAUGGUUAUAUGUUGAUCUUACCUUUUCGCAUAGUUCCCUGUUUAGAUGAAUGGAUGAAAAGUCUACAUGAACGCCAGUCUUUGGCUUGUCUAAAUUUCCAAAGUUAUUUCAUUGCUAGGAAUUAGUCAGAUCCUUGUUUAAAAAUUCAUCCCUUCUUAGACUGAAUCCAACCACGUUGAGAUAUCACACCAGCCAUGGCAUGAAUGGCACCAGUGGGCGCCCACCCUGAUUCCAAACACUAUGAUUGUAAGUCAUUUCUCUACCUAUUUUAUUAUCUUCAUCCUUGGAAGAUAUGGCGUAGCUUUGAAUUCUUCAAUAUCUAGAUUUUUCAUGAUUUCUUAUUUCCUGCUAUUAUUAUUCAGUAGCCUUACAGAAGUACGAUCUGAGAGACAUUUUAUUUGCACAAAUGGUAGAUAUUGGCUUUUAUCUUCAGUUUGAGAGGAACCAUUUUGUGUUGUAGUAGUUGCUGUUGGUAGUGGAUUUUUCAUAAUCUGAGAGUUGUGCGCCCGUUGUCAUUUUUGGAGGCAUGGAGCAAGCAGGGGGAGAUGGACGACCUACUUGUGUGCAUAGCACAUUGUUGGCAAGCUCGAAAUUAUUUGGGCCAUGUGUGAUCAGUUGUCCUAAGAUAUAUCUUGGUCAUUAGAAAGAACAGUGGUGUCAUUCUCGCAACAACCUAUGGAAAAUUACACAUGUCCGGUAUGCUUAACAAAUCUAAAUCUCUACAUAGAAACAGAUUCGUUCAUGCCUGUUUUAAUGCUACGAGGAGGAGAGGAGAUAUUUUUUGUUAAUGAUGUAAUGUUUACAAAUCACUUCCUUUUUGUCUUGUUACUUUAUAGUAUUCGAGUUGUCUAUUUUUCCUAGAGCUUGUAAUGGUGGGGCUUACAUGCCAGCUAGGAUUGGUGCUUCCUAGGACCAUGUAAUCCUAUUUUGUUUUGUCUAUCACAUCACAAACUUUGUAAUUUGGUGGAUGUCAAUUUGGCUAGCUCAUCCCUUAAUGA